UACAGAGGGUGCAAGCGUUAAUCGGAAUUACUGGGCGUAAAGUGUGCGCAGGCGGCAGAGCAAGUCGAGUGUGAAAGCCCCGGGCUUAACUUGGGAAUUGCGCUCGAAACUACUUUGCUGGAGUGUGGCAGAGGAAGGUGGAAUUCCACGUGUAGCGGUGAAAUGCGUAGAUAUCUGGAGGAACACCGGUGGCGAAGGCGGCGUCCUGGACCAAUACUGACACUGAGGAGCGAAAGCCAGGGGAGCAAACGGG
RNAcentral lists this ribosomal RNA (253 nucleotides) under uncultured bacterium. RNAcentral describes it as "partial 16S ribosomal RNA". It matches the Rfam family "Bacterial small subunit ribosomal RNA", at positions 524 to 776 of the family's 1533-position model. The record is from RNAcentral.